UACGAAGGGUGCUAGCGUUGUUCGGAAUCACUGGGCGUAAAGCGCGCGUAGGCGGCUUUUCAAGUCAGGGGUGAAAUCCCACAGCUUAACUGUGGAACUGCCUUUGAAACUGUAAAGCUGGAAUGCAAGAGGGGAUAGCGGAAUUCCUAAUGUAGAGGUGAAAUUCGUAGAUAUUAGGAGGAACACCGGUGGCGAAGGCGGCUAUCUGGAUUGCAAUUGACGCUGAGGCGCGAAAGCAUGGGGAUCAAACAGG
RNAcentral lists this ribosomal RNA (253 nucleotides) under uncultured bacterium. RNAcentral's name for it is "partial 16S ribosomal RNA". It matches the Rfam family "Bacterial small subunit ribosomal RNA", at positions 524 to 776 of the family's 1533-position model. The record is from RNAcentral.